GAUGAACGCUGGCGGCGUGCUUAACACAUGCAAGUCGAACGAUGAAGCCCAGCUUGCUGGGUGGAUUAGUGGCGAACGGGUGAGUAACACGUGAGUAACCUGCCCUUAACUCUGGGAUAAGCCUGGGAAACUGGGUCUAAUACCUGAUAGGAGCGUCCACCGCAUGGUGGGUGUUGGAAAGAUUUAUCGGUUUUGGAUGGACUCGCGGCCUAUCAGCUUGUUGGUGAGGUAAUGGCUCACCAAGGCGACGACGGGUAGCCGGCCUGAGAGGGUGACCGGCCACACUGGGACUGAGACACGGCCCAGACUCCUACGGGAGGCAGCAGUGGGGAAUAUUGCACAAUGGGCGAAAGCCUGAUGCAGCGACGCCGCGUGAGGGAUGACGGCCUUCGGGUUGUAAACCUCUUUCAGUAGGGAAGAAGCGAAAGUGACGGUACCUGCAGAAGAAGCACCGGCUAACUACGUG
Molecule: ribosomal RNA, 466 nt
Filed under: uncultured bacterium
Lineage: Bacteria
Description: partial 16S ribosomal RNA
Rfam family: Bacterial small subunit ribosomal RNA
Source: RNAcentral